AUAACCGAUAUCCAGCACAGGCUUCAGAGAGCGUGUUGACCUGCUCACAAGGAAAUGUGAAUAGGAUCAUGCUCUAAAGCCCACCAUGUUCAAUGGCGCUGUGGGUUUCUUUGUCGCUGACUCCCCGUUUUACCACCUCCUCAGGUAUAGUGUCUUCCACUCCCAGCAGGUAGUUAAUUUGGAGUUGCCACUGCUCCUAGCUCCCUACUCACUAUCACCAGUUUGGAUUGGGCUUCCCACUUUAGCCCCCAAGGCAGGAGCAGAGGAAUGUCUGGCUUAUGGGUUGCUUUGGGCCCACAUCCUGCCAUCCUGUCCCUUCUCACACAGCAACUAAGCAUAGGGGGAACAUUUCCCAUUGGAUAGCUGGCAUAGCUCAGUUGAUGGGAGCAUGAGACUCUUAAGCUCAGGGUUGUGGGUUCGAGUUCCACGCUGGACUAGAUGACCCUUGGGGAACCUUCCAGCUCUAUGAUAACAGUAAAAGGUAAAGGUAAAGGGACCCCUGACCAUUAGGUCCAGUCAUGACCGACUUGGGUUGCGGCGCUCAUCUUGCUUUACUGGCCGAGGGAGCUGGCGUACAGCUUCCGGGUCAUGUGGCCAGCAUAACUAAGCCACUUCUGGAGAACCAGAGCAGUGCACAGAAACACCGUUUACCUUCCCACCGGAGUGGUACCUAUUUAUCUACUUGCACUUUGACAUGCUUUCGAACUGCUAGGUGGGCAGGAGCAGAGACCGAGCAAUGGGAGCUCACCCCAUCGCGGGGAUUCGAAUCACGGACCUUCUGAUUGGCAAGUCCUAGGCUCUGUGGUUUAACAGUAGGAGCUUCCAAUUUGCUGGAGGUUUAUUUUCCCAGCAGCUGUGGAAAAAUGUGAUGAAUGAAUACUCCCUUUUGCUGUGUGGGAUGUUGGGGGGUUAGAGGGAGUAUGUGUGAGAGAAAGUGGGGGGCAGGGAGGGAGUAUGUGUGAAAGAUAAAAAGUGUUGGUGAUGAUUUUGACACCAUCACUAUCCCUAGUCUUCCUUCCCUCCACCAAAUAGCGGCUUCUCAGGCACUGCAUGAAAGGCAGCACACAACUUUGGUUUUACUAAACCAUCCUUUUCCAUCCAGUCCCAAAAGGAAAGAAAAAAAUGAGUUGCUUUUCAACAGAUAUUAUCUGGUUACAUUUUCACGAAGGUGUUCUACUGUACCACUACUGUAAAAAAAUAAAAAUAAACGAACCAAACAUUUAAUAAUAUGGUUGUGCUUUUGGGGGGGUUUUGAGAAUGGCCUUGUUUAUUUUAGUACAGCAUGGAAAACAAGAGUACGAAAUGAAAAUAAACACGCAAAGCAAGAUGGGAGGUGAAAGAACACAAGCAAAGGAUUAGAAAGGAAGAGAGUGUAUGUGGCAGCACUACAGAAAUAAGGAAGCAAUACGCAGGAG
Podarcis lilfordi (Lilford's wall lizard) is the source of this 1415-nucleotide non-coding RNA. NCBI's taxonomy places the organism in Eukaryota, Metazoa, Chordata, Lepidosauria, Squamata, Lacertidae. The record is from the annotation of a GenBank genome assembly.